UACGUAGGGUGCAAGCGUUAAUCGGAAUUACUGGGCGUAAAGCGUGCGCAGGCGGUUUUUCAAGACAGAUGUGAAAUCCCCGGGCUUAACCUGGGAAUGGCAUUUGUGACUGGAAGGCUAGAGUGUGUCAGAGGGGGGUAGAAUUCCACGUGUAGCAGUGAAAUGCGUAGAGAUGUGGAGGAAUACCGAUGGCGAAGGCAGCCCCCUGGGAUAACACUGACGCUCAUGCACGAAAGCGUGGGGAGCAAACAUG
This 253-nucleotide ribosomal RNA is filed under the name uncultured bacterium. RNAcentral's name for it is "partial 16S ribosomal RNA". It matches the Rfam family "Bacterial small subunit ribosomal RNA", at positions 524 to 776 of the family's 1533-position model. The record is from RNAcentral.